Molecule: ribosomal RNA, 534 nt
Filed under: uncultured bacterium
Lineage: Bacteria
Description: bacterial SSU rRNA
Rfam family: Bacterial small subunit ribosomal RNA
Source: RNAcentral
UGAUUACGCUGGCGGCGUGCCUAACACAUGCAAGUCGAACGAGGUAGCAAUACCUAGUGGCAGACGGGUGAGUAACACGUGGUCAACCUUCCCUACAGUGGGGGAUAACUAGCCGAAAGGUUAGCUAAUACCGCAUAACAUCUACGAGUGGCAUCACAUGUAGAUCAAAGGAGUAAUCCGCUGAAGGAUGGGACCGCGCCCGAUUAGUUAGUUGGUGGGGUAAUGGCCUACCAAGACUCCGAUCGGUAGCUGGUUUGAGAGAGCGACCAGCCACACUGGGACUGAGAAACGGCCCAGACUCCUACGGGAGGCAGCAGUGAGGAAUUUUCCGCAAUGGGCGAAAGCCUGACGGAGCGACGCCGCGUGUGGGAAGAAGGCCUUCGGGUCGUAAACCACUGUCGAAGGGGAAGAUAAUGACGGUACCCUUGGAGGAAGCCCCGGCUAACUACGUGCCAGCAGCCGCGGUAAGACGUAGGGGGCGAGCGUUAUUCGGAAUUAUUGGGCGUAAAGCGCUCGUAGGCGGGACCGAAAGUC